CUUCUCCUCUCAAAACCCUUUCUUUUUCCCGCAGCCCAUCAAACCAGUCUCAGAAAAACGACGAUCUCGAACCCGUUCACCGUUGGAUCGUUGUGAAAUUUGAGUAUCAUGUUCGCAACACAAUUACGAGCAUUCUCACCGUUGGGAAUUUCGAUAUCAUGUCUGAACUAAGAGAAACACCCUUCGCAUUGUAGCCUUUUUCUUUCCCGCAGAAACCCAGAGCUGUCUUGGUAAAACUACGAUCCCGGUUUUGUUAACCGUUGGAUUAUUGUGAAAUUUGGAUAUGUUGUUCGGAAUUCAAUUCCGCACGCUUCCACCGUUGGGAUUUGCGAGAUAAUAUUCGUGGAGGGAGAAAAAGGAAUCGUAUGAAGACAGUACAAGUGGAGGUUUCAAUCUCUUCUCCGUCUCUCUGACGUUUGGGAAUUCUAUCGGAGCAGUCGGAUGAAUAAUUGAAAGAAUUUCUGGGAACCGCUAGAGAUGUUGCUAUCGCUGGCUGAAGACACGUGAGCCCGCUUAGAGGUAAAGGAUGAGUUUAUCACAAUUGGGGAUUAGAAUGAACAUGUGUAGGGAUCCUUAGAGAACUAAAUUUGGGUUUAUUUUGGGAUGUUUAUUGAAUUAUAAUUUUCUCUUUAUGAUUAUAAAUAUAAUAUUAUUGUGUUCUAUGUACCAAUUGAUGUCCUAAUGAGAAUUGAUUGAUAAACUUGAGUGCUCUUGAUGUCUUUGUGUUUAACCCAUGAAUUUGAUUAAUUGAUUGUGAUAUAAUUGUGAGAAACUAUUUCAGGGAUUUUACACCCUAUGUUGUGAUGAAAUCUUUUGUAUAAAUUGUUAUGUUGAGGUUAUGAAAUGAUGAUUCAAAUUGUGAGUAUGUGAUAAAUUGAACAUGUGACGGAUGAUGAAAUACAUGUGUAUUGAGAUGAGAUGUGUGUAUUGAGUUGUGAACUAUGAACUGUGCAAUCACACAAUUGUAAGACCCUUUAAGGGCGACGAGUAUUGUGAUGGGAUCCACUGUGGGAAUCCGACGAGUUAAAAUGAUUUUGAAAACAAUUGAGUAGAUGUGUGUAUUGCAUAGUUCAUAGGUAAAGUGUACAUGAUUCAUGAGGUGUGAUAACAUGUUAAAUUGAGAUUAUACCAUUGUGAUUGGGAUUAAGUGUAUGUGAUAAAUUGAGUAUGUAUAUGAUUUGAGAUAUAUAUGUGCAUCGAGUUGUGAACUAUGAAUUGUACAAUCACACGAUCAUAAGUCCCUUCAAGGGCGACGAGUUAAUGCUAAGUCCCUUUUAGGGCGACGAGUUGAUGUUAAGUUCCUUUUAGGGCGACGAGUUGAUGCUAAGUCCCUUUUUGGGCGACGAGUUAAUGUUAAGACCCUUAAAGGGCGACGAGUUAAAAUUAUUUUGAGAACAAUUGAGGAGUGGUGUGUUUUGUACAGUUCAUAGAUAGAGUCUGUGUGCUAAAAUAAUUUUAGGGGUUGGACCUGAAUCAGGAGGGAGAGGCCCUGACGGACUCUUCGGAGUGUAGGCCUUGGGGGUCACCGGGUUUGAGUGCUCCUUUAAGCCUUUGUUAAUCCCAUAUGGUUGGAGCAUUCUCGCAAAACAUCGUGACCCUGACUGGUCUCCCUAUGAUCUUACUUAGUGAGAGUGACCUGACAAACCCAUUGUGUGGUGUGUCUUGUUAUGUACUCCUAAGCGCCCCAGGGUGGUUUUUCACUGACAUGGUACCACAUUGCAUAUAGGCUUGAGUCUUAGCAUAACUGUCGCAUACGCUUGCUAAUUGUUUAUUAUAAAAUUGAUGUGUUAUUAUGUCUUGAUCGGAGUGUGUGAUUCCUGUGUAUAAUGAUUGAUGAUUGAAAGGUGUGAUUGAUGAAUGACAAAGUGAUGAAAUAAUGUGAGAUAUGCUAAGUAAAUUGUAUUUGGCUACUAUAUGUUGUGUUGUUUCUCUCUAGUAGUUAGCAAUGUGAUAACUCAUUCCCGGUUUACUGUUUGUGUUUGGAUCCUGUGAUGAUCUUGAACUUUGUGUUCGGGGGAGCAGAUGAAUAGGUGGAUGACUAUGAAGAAUCUCAUGCUAGAGGACACGGGAACACCACGCUCUGAUAGGAUGUGACAUUAGGAUAUAAGUUCUAUAUUAAUUGUAUGAGACUUAUAUGAUUUUCUUUGAGUCGAGAUGACUUUAUUAUUUAUUUGGACAAGUUUGAAUAUGAUGUAAAAGAAAGUGAAUGUGAG
This 2213-nucleotide long non-coding RNA is filed under the name Glycine max (soybean). RNAcentral's name for it is "long non-coding RNA (GMAX_LNC002611)". The record is from RNAcentral. Lineage: Eukaryota; Viridiplantae; Streptophyta; Magnoliopsida; Fabales; Fabaceae.